This 139-nucleotide ribosomal RNA is filed under the name uncultured Alphaproteobacteria bacterium. RNAcentral describes it as "partial 16S ribosomal RNA". It matches the Rfam family "Bacterial small subunit ribosomal RNA", at positions 8 to 148 of the family's 1533-position model. The record is from RNAcentral. Lineage: Bacteria; Pseudomonadati; Pseudomonadota; Alphaproteobacteria.
AGAGUUUGAUCCUGGCUCAGAACGAACGCUGGCGGCAGGCCUAACACAUGCAAGUCGAACGUGAAGCCACCUUCGGGUGGUGGAAAGUGGCAGACGGGUGAGUAACGCGUGGGAACGUGCCUUUCGGUUCGGAAUAACC